GUGCUCGCUUCAGCAGCACAGAUGCUUAAAAAAGAAUGAUGCAGAGAAGAUCAGCAUGACCCCUCUGCAAGGAUGGCACACAAAUUCAUGAACUGUUCCAUUAAAAA
Small nuclear RNA from Jaculus jaculus (lesser Egyptian jerboa), 107 nucleotides. The record is from Ensembl. NCBI's taxonomy places the organism in Eukaryota, Metazoa, Chordata, Mammalia, Rodentia, Dipodidae.